UGCUUCCCGCUCCUGUCCUCGUAGGUGUAGUGUGUCAAAGAGGCCGAGCAGUAGUGGGGGUCUUAGAUCGAGCCGCAGCACCCUUCUUAGAGUAGUUAGGCUGUAGUUUUUUGGCAACAACAAAUAAGAAAAAUAAAAGUGUCCGUUCUAGUAGUUGCGUGUGUAACCACCUCACGGAAACUACAUCGUGAUCUAUCCGUUGUUGUUAUAACUAUCGGCGUAUGAUAUCCAUUUGAUUAUAUCUCUGUCUGUAUAUCUAUAUACAUAUAUAAAUAUAUAUAUUUAAUUAUAUAUAUACACUCACCCGGCAAAAUUAUUGCGAGCACAGUGGACUGGACAAUGGAGAAUGAAGCUCAUCAAAAUUGUGCCGGUAAUCAAGGCCAAAACGAUGCCGCUCAUGACCCAGGAAAAAUGUUUGUUGGCGGACUGAGCUGGCAGACUGCACCUGAGGGCCUCAGGGAGUAUUUUAGCAAAUUUGGGGAGAUCACAGAAGUCAUGGUUAUGAAAGACCCCACGACCAGGAGAUCACGGUAAGCAAGAGUUUUAUUCUUAUCUGAUGGCUAAAUUUACUCUAGCUUAAAAAGAUAAAAUAUAAAAAUUUUCAAGUACAAAUUUAAUCUCAUUCUUUAGUAGCUAGGCCGCAUAUUUAACAAAGUUAUUAACUUUUGAGAACAACAAAAUAAUUAACUUUUGAGAACAACAAUAUAUUAACAAUUUUGCCUGCCCUGGAACUGUUAACUUA
Molecule: long non-coding RNA, 742 nt
Organism: Stegodyphus dumicola
Lineage: Eukaryota; Metazoa; Arthropoda; Arachnida; Araneae; Eresidae
Source: RefSeq, a predicted model, not a curated record